UAGCUCAGUUGGGAGGGCGUUAGACUGAAGAUCUAAAGGUCCCUGAUUCGAUCCCGGG
This 58-nucleotide transfer RNA is filed under the name Danio rerio (zebrafish). It matches the Rfam family "tRNA", at positions 8 to 63 of the family's 71-position model. Rfam says of the family: Transfer RNA (tRNA) molecules are approximately 80 nucleotides in length. The record is from Rfam by way of RNAcentral. Lineage: Eukaryota; Metazoa; Chordata; Actinopteri; Cypriniformes; Danionidae.